This 460-nucleotide ribosomal RNA is filed under the name uncultured bacterium. RNAcentral describes it as "partial 16S ribosomal RNA". It matches the Rfam family "Bacterial small subunit ribosomal RNA", at positions 338 to 795 of the family's 1533-position model. The record is from RNAcentral.
CCUACGGGGGGCAGCAGUGGGGGAUAUUGCACAAUGGGCGCGAGCCUGAACCAGCCAAGUAGCGUGAAGGAUGACUGCCCUACGGGUUGUAAACUUCUUUUAUAAAGGAAUAAAGUGAGGCACGUGUGCCUUUUUGUAUGUACUUUAUGAAUAAGGAUCGGCUAACUCCGUGCCAGCAGCCGCGGUAAUACGGAGGAACCGAGCGUUAUCCGGAUUUAGUGGGGUUAAAGGGAGCGUAGAUUGGUUGUUAAGUCAGUUGUGAAAGUUUGCGGCUCAACCGUAAAAUUGCAAUUGAUACUGGCAGCCUUGAGUACAGUUGAGGUAGGCGGAAUUCGUGGUGUAGCGGUGAAAUGCUUAGAUAUCACGAAGAACUCCGAUUGCGAAGGCAGCCUACUAAACUGCCACUGACAUUGAUGCUCGAAAGUGUGGGUAUCAAACAGGAUUAGAUACCCCUGUAGUC